GGUCUCGCCAAAAUACUCGCCAGUGCCAAGCAGGGCAAUGCGCAGUUCCUCGCCGUGGAUACCCGUGCUGAUAACCUCAGCCUGACCGCUUGCCACAAUGAAGAAUUUCUGUUUGUCUUUGCCUUGAGUGAUAAGGUUUUUGCCGCGUUUCACCUCAACAGGCACAAAGUUCCGCGCCAAAUCCGAAACAAUCUCCUCGUCGAUGCUGGCGAAAAGCGGAAUCUGACGCAAAUCCUUCGCGGUGAAACUUGCCACGCCGUCGAAAUACUGAAUUGCAAUGCGGUCGGCCUUUUUCAAUUCAACUUUGGUGCGGUUGACGCGGUAGGUGCCACUCUCAACCUGUGUCCACGGCAGCAGUUUCAGAAGAAGCCGCGGUGUGAUUGACCCCAUUUGCGGUGGGGUUUUGGUAGUAUUCGCAAGUUUGCGAGCCGUUGCAGUC
This 439-nucleotide non-coding RNA is filed under the name bovine gut metagenome. The record is from RNAcentral.